This 1304-nucleotide long non-coding RNA is filed under the name Anas platyrhynchos platyrhynchos (common mallard). Its description in RNAcentral is "lncRNA (ENSAPLG00000030572.1)". The record is from RNAcentral. Lineage: Eukaryota; Metazoa; Chordata; Aves; Anseriformes; Anatidae.
AAAACAUACACAAUGCAUUUUAUCUAAUAUUAUCACAGAAAGCAUUGAAAUCUAUGCCAGAGUAUCCAAAGAUCCCCUUCUGUGUUUAAUCAUAGAAUCAUAGAAUGGCUUAAGUUGGAAGGAUCAUUUCCUUCCAACCCUGCUGACAUGGGCAGUGAUGCCAACCACUGGAUCAGGUUGCUCUGGGCCCCAUCUAAUCUGUACUAAACACCUCCAGGAAUGGGGCAACCACGACUUCUCUGGGCAACCUGUUCCAGUGCCUUACCACCCUCUGAGUGAAGAAUUUCUUCCUUACAUCUAAUCUAAAUCUCCCUUCUUUGCAUUUGAAACCACUGAAACCUCGUCCUAUGAUUAUCUGCCCAUGUAAAAAGUCACUUUCCAUCUUUUUGUAAGCCCCCUCAAGUACUGGAAGGCCACAGUGAGGUCUCCCUGGGGUCAUUUCUUCUGGGGCUGAACAUUCCCAGUUCUCUCAGCCUUCCUUCAUAGGAGAAGUACUUCAGCCCUUUGAUCAUAUUCAGAGUCCUCCUCUGGACCCACUUUAACAGGUCCACGUCUUUCUUGUGCUGGGGGCUCCAGACCUGAACACAGCUCUCCAAGUGAGGCCUCACAAAGGCACACUAGAGGGCAACAAUCACCUCCCUUGACAGGCUGGCCACACCUUUGUUGAUGCCGCCCAGGAUGCAGUUGGCCUUCGGGAUUGCCAUGGCCCCGGUGCAGCACCUUGCUCUUGGACUUGUUGAACCUCAUUUGGUUUGCGUGGGCCCACUUCUACAUGACAGGUAUGGAUCGAUAGACUAUAAGCAGUCUUGGAAGAGGAGGGCCUUGGAAGUUGUGAUUCCCUGCACAUCACUGAUAAGAACUCUUUGAAUCAAAAUAUGUUAACAAAGUGAAGACUUCAAGAACCAGAACCCAGGUUCUGAAUCAAGCCAUGGAUUCUCAUGGGUCCUCAACUGUAUGUGGCCAUGAAUAAGCAAAGCACUACUCUAGUGUGAUCUGUUUCUUGUUAAUUUCUCAGCAGAUGGCAGUACUCUACCCAUAGCCACCUAUUUCUUGUUUACUAUUCCUUCUUGGGGGUUUAACAUUUGUAGAAAUUGUUUCUGCCUCUUUUUUUUCUUUUUUUUUUCUUUCUUUUUUUUUUUUUUUUCUGUAAUCUAGCUUUAAAAAAAGACAGAAAGUUCUUAGUUUUAUUAUGGCUAUUUUGUGACUUGGUGUCACUGAUAUCUCAUUCUUUCUUGUGGUAUCUUUCAACUUGGAAGUGCCUAAUAUAUGUUUAGUUCUCAGUUUGCCUUAUUCUGAGAAUAUGG